This 81-nucleotide transfer RNA is filed under the name Gammaproteobacteria bacterium 42_54_T18. Its description in RNAcentral is "tRNA-Arg". The stretch from base 17 to 78 matches the Rfam family "tRNA". Rfam says of the family: Transfer RNA (tRNA) molecules are approximately 80 nucleotides in length. Their secondary structure includes four short double-helical elements and three loops (D, anti-codon, and T loops). The record is from RNAcentral. Lineage: Bacteria; Pseudomonadati; Pseudomonadota; Gammaproteobacteria.
GCUACAGGCCGUGAAAGCACUGGAUAGUACGCCUGGCUACGAACCAGGUGGUCGGAGGUUCGACUCCUUCCUGGCGCACCA